CGGCUCUUUCUGUUCCCGUCUUCUUCGCUCGACCCAAUAACCUUCCCCUCUCAAAUUCUCUUAUUUCUGUUCUUUCCGUCGACCGACAACCACUGCGAGGCUCUCUCCGUGUUGCUCGUUGCCCAACCAGGGUAGUACUAACCUAGAAGCUAUUUAGAUAAUCAAGAAAACGAGAGGAUCUUUAAAGGAUUCUUUUCUGGAUGAAGGGUGAGAUUAUUGAAUAUUCCCUUCUUAACUUAGUUCUCAUGGAGGCUCUAUCCACUGUACAUCUAAUACAACAUGCAAUAAGUUGAUGAAUAACUUCCCUCCAUCAAUCUGAUGCACACAUAUUUGGCAUUUCUUUAAUAUUGGAAUGUUUCAUCAAAAUUAUAUGGUGUAUUCCAACCAUAGACAUGAUCGACACGCAAUUAUUGUUGUAUAUGGUCUAGCAACAUCAUAUGUUGUUUAUUUGCAUAGUAAACCCAAACCUGGCGUCUAAGAAUGCUUAACAAAACUAAUUUGGAGCUCUACCUUUGUGUGAUUCUUGAUAAGAAAA
Molecule: long non-coding RNA, 535 nt
Organism: Syzygium oleosum
Lineage: Eukaryota; Viridiplantae; Streptophyta; Magnoliopsida; Myrtales; Myrtaceae
Exons: 2
Source: RefSeq, a predicted model, not a curated record